UACGGAGGAUGCGAGCGUUAUCCGGAUUUAUUGGGCGUAAAGCGUCCGCAGCCGGUUUAUUAAGUGUGAAAUUAAAGCCCGGGGCUUAACCCCGGUUCGUUUCACAAACUGAUAGACUAGAGUUUAGUAGAGGCAAGUGGAAUUUCUAGUGUAGCGGUGGAAUGCGUAGAUAUUAGAAGGAACACCAGUGGCGAAGGCGACUUGCUGGGCUAAUACUGACGGUCAGGGACGAAAGCGUGGGGAGCAAAUA
Molecule: ribosomal RNA, 250 nt
Filed under: uncultured prokaryote
Description: partial 16S ribosomal RNA
Rfam family: Bacterial small subunit ribosomal RNA
Source: RNAcentral